AUGAACGCUGGCGGCGUGCCUAAUACAUGCAAGUCGAGCGAACGGACGAGAAGCUUGCUUCUCUGAUGUUAGCGGCGGACGGGUGAGUAACACGUGGAUAACCUACCUAUAAGACUGGGAUAACUUCGGGAAACCGGAGCUAAUACCGGAUAAUAUUUUGAACCGCAUGGUUCAAAAGUGAAAGACGGUCUUGCUGUCACUUAUAGAUGGAUCCGCGCUGCAUUAGCUAGUUGGUAAGGUAACGGCUUACCAAGGCAACGAUGCAUAGCCGACCUGAGAGGGUGAUCGGCCACACUGGAACUGAGACACGGUCCAGACUCCUACGGGAGGCAGCAGUAGGGAAUCUUCUGCAAUGGGCGAAAGCCUGACGGAGCAACGCCGCGUGAGUGAUGAAGGUCUUCGGAUCGUAAAACUCUGUUAUUAGGGAAGAACAUAUGUGUAAGUAACUGUGCACAUCUUGACGGUACCUAAUCAGAAAGCCACGGCUAACUACGUG
This 496-nucleotide ribosomal RNA is filed under the name uncultured bacterium. Its description in RNAcentral is "partial 16S ribosomal RNA". It matches the Rfam family "Bacterial small subunit ribosomal RNA", at positions 29 to 507 of the family's 1533-position model. The record is from RNAcentral.